AUUAUUUGCCAUUGAUCUCUGUUACUAGGAAUAAGGGAAAAAGCGAUCUCUUCUAAGCAUGCAUUUCUCCAUUUUACUGUGAAUAAGGGAAACGAAGAAUUGCAAGGCGAUAGAGUGAUACAGAUCUGUCCUCUUUCCCUUCCUAGAUGUCCAAACAACCAAUGUUGCUGUACAAUGAGGGCAUCUAGAGGACUUCCAGAUUCUGAAGUUUCCUGCAACUGAAGUUCUGAGCAGCUCUGUUUCUCCUCAGAAGAUCUGUCUGUGUGCAUAUGUCAGCCCAGAAAGAUUGCGGCCCCUCUGUCAGCCCAGGUGUUCUGCUUUGAAAAUAGUUGUUCACAAAAGUACAUACUGCCAGAAAGAGAUGACACAGAUAAGGUGUGAUGGUGAAGCGAGGGAUAUUUUUCUCAG
This 408-nucleotide long non-coding RNA is filed under the name Gallus gallus (chicken). Lineage: Eukaryota; Metazoa; Chordata; Aves; Galliformes; Phasianidae. The record is from RNAcentral.